UGGGGAAUCUUGCACAAUGGGGGCAACCCUGAUGCAGCGACGCCGCGUGAGCGAUGAAGCCCUUCGGGGCGUAAAGCUCUUUCGACCGGAACGAUAAUGACGGUACCGGGAGAAGAAGCUGCGGCUAACUACGUGCCAGCAGCCGCGGUAAUACGUAGGCAGCAAGCGUUGUUCGGAGUUACUGGGCGUAAAGAGUGCGUAGGCGGUUUUCUAAGUUCGGUGUGAAAUCUCCCGGCUUAACUGGGAGGGUGCGCCGAAGACUGGGAAGAUGGAGUGUGGGAAAGGCAGGCGGAAUUCCUGGUGUAGCGGUGAAAUGCGUAGAUAUCAGGAGGAACACCGGCGGUGUAGACGGCUUGCUAGACCAUAACUGACGCUGAGGCACGAAAGCGUGGGUAGCAAAC
RNAcentral lists this ribosomal RNA (401 nucleotides) under uncultured bacterium. RNAcentral's name for it is "bacterial SSU rRNA". It matches the Rfam family "Bacterial small subunit ribosomal RNA", at positions 355 to 773 of the family's 1533-position model. The record is from RNAcentral.